UACAGGGGGUGCAAACGUUGCUCGGAAUUAUUGGGCGUAAAGCGCGCGUAGGCGGCUACUUAAGUCGGAUGUGAAAGCCCUUGGCUCAACUGAGGAAGUGCACCCGAAACUGAGUGGCUAGAGUACGAAAGAGGGUCGCGGAAUUCCCGGUGUAGUGGUGGAAUGCGUAGAUAUCGGGAGGAACACCAGUGGCGAAGGCGGGUCUCUGGGCAGUAACUGACGCUGAGAAGCGAAAGCGUGGGGAGCGAACAGG
This 253-nucleotide ribosomal RNA is filed under the name uncultured bacterium. RNAcentral describes it as "partial 16S ribosomal RNA". It matches the Rfam family "Bacterial small subunit ribosomal RNA", at positions 524 to 776 of the family's 1533-position model. The record is from RNAcentral.